Long non-coding RNA from Strigops habroptila (Kakapo), 127 nucleotides. RefSeq lists it as uncharacterized. NCBI's taxonomy places the organism in Eukaryota, Metazoa, Chordata, Aves, Psittaciformes, Psittacidae. The record is from RefSeq and is a predicted model, not a curated record. The transcript has 3 exons.
AAAAUAAACUUGCCAAAAGGGUGGUCAGGCAUUGGAACAGGCUGCCCAGGGAAGUAGUGGAAUCACCAUUCCUGUAAGUGUUCAAAAAUCAUGUAGAUGAGGCCCUUAAUGAUAUGGGUAGAUGGUG